Molecule: ribosomal RNA, 216 nt
Filed under: Glomeromycotina sp.
Lineage: Eukaryota; Fungi; Glomeromycota
Description: partial small subunit ribosomal RNA
Rfam family: Eukaryotic small subunit ribosomal RNA (bases 40-216)
Source: RNAcentral
GGGUCAGUAGGUUGGUCGUGCCACCGGUACGUACUGGUCUCACUGAUUCCUCCUUCCUGAAGAACCGUAAUGCCAUUAAUUUGGUGUUGCGGGGAAACAGGACUGUUACUUUGAAAGAACUAGAGUGUUUAAAGCAAGCUAACGCUUGAAUACAUUAGCAUGGAAUAAUGAAAUAGGACGAUCGAUCCUAUUUUGUUGGUUUCUAGGAUUGACGUA